UAGCUACAGGCUUAACACAUGCAAGUCGAGGGGCAGCAUGGUCUUAGCUUGCUAAGGCCGAUGGCGACCGGCGCACGGGUGAGUAACGCGUAUCCAACCUGCCUUACACUCUUGGACAGCCUUCUGAAAGGGAGAUUAAUACAAGAUGUUAUCAUGAGUAAGCAUUUUCGCAUGAUUAAAGGUUUACCGGUGUAAGAUGGGGAUGCGUUCCAUUAGAUAGUAGGCGGGGUAACGGCCCACCUAGUCUUCGAUGGAUAGGGGUUCUGAGAGGAAGGUCCCCCACAUUGGAACUGAGACACGGUCCAAACUCCUACGGGAGGCAGCAGUGAGGAAUAUUGGUCAAUGGACGAGAGUCUGAACCAGCCAAGUAGCGUGAAGGAUGAAGGUUCUAUGGAUUGUAAACUUCUUUUAUACGGGAAUAAACGAAUCCACGUGUGGAUUUUUGCAUGUACCGUAUGAAUAAGGAUCGGCUAACUCCGUGCCAGCAGCCGCGGUAAUACGGAGGAUCCGAGCGUUAUCCGGAUUUAUUGGGUUUAAAGGGAGCGUAGAUGGGUUGUUAAGUCAGUUGUGAAAGUUUGCGGCUCAACCGUAAAAUUGCAAUUGAUACUGGCAGUCUUGAGUACAGUUGAGGUAGGCGGAAUUCGUGGUGUAGCGGUGAAAUGCUUAGAUAUCACGAAGAACUCCGAUUGCGAAGGCAGCUUACUAACCUGUAACUGACAUUGAUGCUCGAAAGUGUGGGUAUCAAACAGGAUUAGAUACCCUGGUAGUCCACACGGUAAACGAUGAAUACUCGCUGUAGGCGGUAUACAGUCUGCGGCCAAGCGAAAGCAUUAAGUAUUCCACCUGGGGAGUACGCCGGCAACGGUGAAACUCAAAGGAAUUGACGGGGGCCCGCACAAGCGGAGGAACAUGUGGUUUAAUUCGAUGAUACGCGAGGAACCUUACCCGGGCUUAAAUUGCAACCGAAUAUGGCGGAAACGCUAUAGCUAGCAAUAGCGGUUGUGAAGGUGCUGCAUGGUUGUCGUCAGCUCGUGCCGUGAGGUGUCGGCUUAAGUGCCAUAACGAGCGCAACCCUUGCCGAUAGUUACUAACAGGUCAUGCUGAGGACUCUGUCGGGACUGCCAUCGUAAGAUGUGAGGAAGGUGGGGAUGACGUCAAAUCAGCACGGCCCUUACGUCCGGGGCUACACACGUGUUACAAUGGGGGGUACAGAGGGCUGCUACCACGCAAGUGGAUGCCAAUCCCAAAAACCUCUCUCAGUUCGGAUUGAAGUCUGCAACCCGACUUCAUGAAGCUGGAUUCGCUAGUAAUCGCGCAUCAGCCACGGCGCGGUGAAUACGUUCCCGGGCCUUGUACACACCGCCCGUCAAGCCAUGGGAGCCGGGGGUACCUGAAGUGCGUAACCGCAAGGAGCGCCCUAGGGUAAAACUGGUGACUGGGGCU
RNAcentral lists this ribosomal RNA (1443 nucleotides) under uncultured organism. RNAcentral describes it as "SSU rRNA". It matches the Rfam family "Bacterial small subunit ribosomal RNA". The record is from RNAcentral.